GAUGAAGAACGUAGCGAAAUGCGAUAAGUAAUGUGAAUUGCAGAAUUCCGUGAAUCAUCGAGUCUUUGAACGCACAUUGCGCCCCCUGGUAUUCCGGGGGGCAUGCCUGUCCGAGCGUCAUUGCUGCCCUCAAGCCCGGCUUGUGUGUUGGGCCUCGUCCCCCCUCCGCGGGGGACGGGCCCGAAAGGCAGCGGCGGCACCGUGUCCGGUCCUCGAGCGUAUGGGGCUUUGUCACCCGCUCUGUAGGCCCGGCCGGCGCCUUAGCCGACGACACAAUCUUUUUUUUCAGGUUGACCUCGGAUCAGGUAGGGAUACCCGCUGAACUUAAGCAUAUCAAUAAGCGGAGGA
This 348-nucleotide unclassified non-coding RNA is filed under the name soil metagenome. RNAcentral describes it as "partial contains 5.8S ribosomal RNA, internal transcribed spacer 2, and large subunit ribosomal RNA". The stretch from base 1 to 120 matches the Rfam family "5.8S ribosomal RNA", at positions 35 to 154 of the family's 154-position model. The record is from RNAcentral.